This 466-nucleotide ribosomal RNA is filed under the name uncultured bacterium. RNAcentral describes it as "partial 16S ribosomal RNA". It matches the Rfam family "Bacterial small subunit ribosomal RNA", at positions 28 to 507 of the family's 1533-position model. The record is from RNAcentral.
GAUGAAUGCUGGCGGCGUGCUUAACACAUGCAAGUCGAACGGAAAGGCUCCUGCUUGCAGGGGUACUCGAGUGGCGAACGGGUGAGUAACACGUGGGUGAUCUGCCCUGCACUUCGGGAUAAGCCUGGGAAACUGGGUCUAAUACCGGAUAGGACGAUGGUUUGGAUGCCAUUGUGGAAAGUUUUUUCGGUGUGGGAUGAGCUCGCGGCCUAUCAGCUUGUUGGUGGGGUAAUGGCCUACCAAGGCGUCGACGGGUAGCCGGCCUGAGAGGGUGUACGGCCACAUUGGGACUGAGAUACGGCCCAGACUCCUACGGGAGGCAGCAGUGGGGAAUAUUGCACAAUGGGCGCAAGCCUGAUGCAGCGACGCCGCGUGGGGGAUGACGGCCUUCGGGUUGUAAACUCCUUUCGCUAGGGACGAAGCGCAAGUGACGGUACCUGGAGAAGAAGCACCGGCUAACUACGUG